RNAcentral lists this long non-coding RNA (586 nucleotides) under Vulpes vulpes (red fox). RNAcentral's name for it is "lncRNA (ENSVVUG00000026793.1)". Lineage: Eukaryota; Metazoa; Chordata; Mammalia; Carnivora; Canidae. The record is from RNAcentral.
CCAGCAGCAACUCAUGAAGCUAAAAACAAAGGAUUCCUUGUCUUAGAUUUUUCACUGAGUCAAAGUUCUAACAACUAUUUCUUACUCCUUACCUGACCCGUUUCUGAAAAUGGACAGAAAAUCAGCAGUGAUAGUGAUCUCAGGAGAGAGGCAAUAUGAUAAAAUAUGCAAGGAAGCAGGUUACCAUCUAUUUACUUUCUUGUUUCUUCCACACAUCUCCAUCUUACAUCCAAGCCAGCCCAGAUCUUUUCCUGCUAUGGUAUAACAAAGGAGGAAUGAUAAAAGUUGAAGAAUAUUGAAGUGUGAAUAAUGGAAGGAAGUAAAUACUGAGAGGAGAAACAUGAAAGAAUUGUAGAUUUAGUGACACAGAAGACAAACUACAUUGACUUGCUUUGAUUAACCCUAUUUUCCUUUAACUUGGUAAAGAUAAAAAUAUAAGCUACAUCUGGAGUAUUUUUGUCAUUCCUGACUGAAAAUACAGACAGCUGUGUUUUAGAUGAUUUAUGAAUAUUUUUAACACAGAUUGUGUAAAGGAUUUCAGUCUCGGUGGAAUAAAGUAUGCUUGACAGCAGAGUUAUAACUAGAA